GAUGAACGCUGGCGGCGUGCCUAAUACAUGCAAGUCGAGCGAACAGACGAGGAGCUUGCUCCUCUGACGUUAGCGGCGGACGGGUGAGUAACACGUGGAUAACCUACCUAUAAGACUGGGAUAACUUCGGGAAACCGGAGCUAAUACCGGAUAAUAUAUUGAACCGCAUGGUUCAAUAGUGAAAGACGGUUUUGCUGUCACUUAUAGAUGGAUCCGCGCCGCAUUAGCUAGUUGGUAAGGUAACGGCUUACCAAGGCAACGAGGCGUAGCCGACCUGAGAGGGUGGUCGGCGACCCUGGAACUGAGACACGGUCAAGACUACUACGGGAGGCAGCAGUAGGGAAUCUUACGCAAUGGGCGAAAGCUUGACGGAGCAACGCCGAGUGAGUGAUGAAGGUCUUCGGAUCGUAAAAAUCUGUUAUUAGGGAAGAACAAAUGUGUAAGUAAAUAUGCACGUCUUGACGGUAACUAAUCAGAAAGCCACGGCUAACUACGUG
Molecule: ribosomal RNA, 497 nt
Filed under: uncultured bacterium
Lineage: Bacteria
Description: partial 16S ribosomal RNA
Rfam family: Bacterial small subunit ribosomal RNA
Source: RNAcentral